CCAUCGCUUGGUCGACGGGCACCCGCGACAUGCCGGUCCGCGCCGUGGCGGCGACCGGCGGCGAGCCGCGCGAGCUGUUCCGACCCGACCGCGAGAGC
Molecule: transfer RNA, 98 nt
Filed under: Planctomycetota bacterium
Lineage: Bacteria; Pseudomonadati; Planctomycetota
Description: tRNA-Arg
Source: RNAcentral